CUACGGGCGGCUGCAGUGAGGAAUAUUGCACAAUGGGGGGAACCCUGAUGCAGCAACGCCGCGUGGAGGAUGACGCAUUUCGGUGUGUAAACUCCUUUUAUAUGUCAAGAAAAUGACGGUAGCAUAUGAAUAAGCACCGGCUAACUCCGUGCCAGCAGCCGCGGUAAUACGGAGGGUGCAAGCGUUACUCGGAAUCACUGGGCGUAAAGGACGCGUAGGCGGGUUGGAAAGUCAGGUGUGAAAUCCUACAGCUUAACUGUAGAACUGCACUUGAAACUUCUAAUCUAGAGUAUGGGAGGGGGAGAUGGAAUUAAUGGUGUAGGGGUAAAAUCCGUAGAUAUCACUAGGAAUACCUAAAGCGAAGGCGAUCUCCUGGAACAUUACUGACGCUAAGGCGUGAAAGCGUGGGGAGCAAACAGGGUUAGAUACCCUUGUAGUC
This 439-nucleotide ribosomal RNA is filed under the name uncultured bacterium. Its description in RNAcentral is "partial 16S ribosomal RNA". It matches the Rfam family "Bacterial small subunit ribosomal RNA", at positions 339 to 795 of the family's 1533-position model. The record is from RNAcentral.